CAGUAGCCGCGGUAAUACAGAGGAUGCAAGCGUUAUCCGGAUUUAUUGGGUUUAAAGGGUGCGUAGGUGGCCUGUUAAGUCAGGGGUGAAAGACGGUAGCUUAACUAUCGCAGUGCCCUUGAUACUGAUGGGCUUGAAUGAACUAGAGGUAGGCGGAAUGUGACAAGUAGCGGUGAAAUGCAUAGAUAUGUCACAGAACACCAAUUGCGAAGGCAGCUUACUAUGGUUUUAUUGACACUGAGGCACGAAAGCGUGGGGAUCAAACAGGAUUAGAGACCCCAGUAGUCCCUGUCUCUUAUAC
This 301-nucleotide ribosomal RNA is filed under the name uncultured bacterium. RNAcentral describes it as "partial 16S ribosomal RNA". It matches the Rfam family "Bacterial small subunit ribosomal RNA", at positions 509 to 807 of the family's 1533-position model. The record is from RNAcentral.